AUCUGAUCGUCGCUGGCACGUGGUGGCACUGCCCGACGCCAGGGCAAGCAGCUACUGCUCCUCCACCUGCGUGCCAUGUCUGGUGUUUUUUCUCACGAAGUCCCCGUCUUCCGGUAAAUGUGGGUUAAAGAUCAGAUCAAACUCCCCAAGUCUAGUCUUAGUGUAUGGACAACUAGACCAGAUCAGGUCUCGCAGACUCGCUCCGUGGCUCGUCUUCCUCGUCGCGCUAGCGCCGCCACCGCUGCCGAGCGCCCCAGCCCCCUAGCUCGUCUUCCUCCACCGCAGGUUGAUCUCCCCUCUCUCUCCCGACCGUUUAUCCUCCCAUCGCCCCACGAACGGAUUCCGCCCUUUAGCUCCCCGUUUCAUCUUCCCCAAUUCAUAACUGAGGCGAAAAUCAAGGUGGGGCGGCCGCCCUACCUUGCCCUACCGGGUCCUCCGCCCGCCGGGCGAUGAGCAGCCUGGCGUCGGGGCUCCACCGACUGAGGCGGUCACCAUGGGAGGUGGUGUUGUCGGCGCUGGUCUCCUGCGGCCUGGUUCUCUUCUCGCAGCUCGCCGUGGCCACGGUGCCCCGCUUCUUCCCCUCCCUCUCCCUCCUCGCCAUGCUCCCCGUCGCAGGUUUGGUAUUUCUAGCGGCCAUUGUGGUGGGCAGAUUCUGGAGGAGGUUCAUUGGGGUGGCGGCGUCAGCGCCGCUGUUCGUUCUGUUCAAUGUUCUGUUUAUGUGGGGUGUCUACAUAUUCGUCAUUCGGGGAGCUUCUAACACCGAGAGAUGUACCAAUCCAGCAGGCCUAUGUGUCACGUCCGGCAGCUCACCAGACACCUCUUCUCUCCUAGACAUGUUAAUAAAUGCUGAAUGCGCGCUUCUUCUGUGGGGACUUUACAGGAUUCUUUCUGGUGAUCCUGGCAUUGUUGCAUACGAAUCUUCGUUUUUGGAAGAAGCUGGCUGCAAUGAUUUCGUUGAUGCUAUAUGCUCGAGUGAGAAACAUCCUUCUCUUUCAAGAGUGAGGCACUGCAACUCCUGCAAAGCAAAUGUUAGGGGUUAUGACCACCAUUGCCCUGCAUUUGGUAACUGCAUAGGACAGAAAAAUCAUAGGUUAUUUAUUGCCCUUUUGACAGGAUUCGUUGUCGCUGAAUCAACAUAUACAAUGUGUUCAACUAAAUAUAUAACUAGAUGCAUAAAUUCAGGAACUAUAAGAACUGAGAAUCCUUUAUCUCUAAACAUGGUGAUCGGAACGAUGCUCUUCUCUGUCCUCCAAGUGCUAUGGCAGGUUGUGUUCUUGAUAUGGCAUGUAUACGGUAUCUGCUUCAACAUCAAGACAGAUGAGUGGGUAAUGUCAAAUUUCCCAUGCUUUGGACUCUUUCUUCACCAAUUGCAGGUCGUCUUCUCGUUUGCUGUUUCUUGUAGCUAAGAGGUGAGAUUUUCCAGAUAAACUGGAAGAAAUAUCCUGAAUUCCAAAUGAAGGAAGAGCCUCAGUCAGAUUCUGAAAUCAAGUUUGUCAAUCCAUACGACAAGGGCAUGCUUUGUAAUAUUAGGGAGUUCCUGAAGCCAAAAUAAUAUAAGUUAAUCUGAGUAAGAAGAACGGACUGCCGCGAAGUCAAAACAUGGGGUAAUCUACAAUGCACCUAGACAGGAAAACACCGCCCAGGAUUACCAAAUUUCUUUUGCCUGUCACUGUAACACUUAUUUAUUAUUCGUUCGACUGUGCAUCAUUUGGACAUUGGCAGUCAUAUUGGCUGGCUUAAUGGGCAAUUAUCAUUCUUUGAAGACCCUCUUUGAGUGGAACUGUAUGCUGAUCGGUUGCUUCGCUGCAAAUUGUGAUCUUGGCACCACCUCCCAAAUAUGCUACAUCUUCUAGCUCUCUAGAAAAUGAUUAUUACAGCUCGUUUGGUAGAAAUGAAAUGAAACUUUUAAUAGCA
Brachypodium distachyon (stiff brome) is the source of this 1914-nucleotide RNA transcript. It is a transcript of the gene named palmitoyltransferase Hip14, with no coding region annotated. NCBI's taxonomy places the organism in Eukaryota, Viridiplantae, Streptophyta, Magnoliopsida, Poales, Poaceae. The record is from RefSeq and is a predicted model, not a curated record. The transcript is spliced from 11 exons.